UGCGGGGUGGAGCAGUCUGGUAGCUCGUAGGGCUCAUAACCCGAAGGUCGUUGGUUCAAAUCCAACCCCCGCAUCCA
Molecule: transfer RNA, 77 nt
Filed under: Acinetobacter baumannii 25569_7
Lineage: Bacteria; Pseudomonadati; Pseudomonadota; Gammaproteobacteria; Moraxellales; Moraxellaceae
Description: tRNA-Met
Rfam family: tRNA
About the family: Transfer RNA (tRNA) molecules are approximately 80 nucleotides in length. Their secondary structure includes four short double-helical elements and three loops (D, anti-codon, and T loops).
Source: RNAcentral